GACGAACGCUGGCGGCGUGCUUAACACAUGCAAGUCGAACGGAAAGGCCCCUUUGGGGGUCCUCGAGUGGCGACCGGGUGAGUAACACGUGAGUAACUUGCCCUUACCUUCGGGAUAACUUCAGCAACCUGGGGCCAAUACCGAUAAGGAAUCAUUUCUGCAUGGGGGGGGUUGGAAAGUUCCGGCGGUUUUGGGUGGCUUCGCGGGUUAUCAGCUUGUUGGUGGGGUUGUGGGUUACCAAGGCUUUGACGGGAAGCCGGCCUGGGAGGGCGACCGGCCACAUUGGGACUGAGGUAAGGCCCAGGCUGCUACGGGUGGCAGCAGUGGGGAAUAUUGAAGAAUGGGCGGAAGCCGGAUGCAGCAAGGCUGCGUGCGGGAUGACGGCCUUCGGGUUGUAAACCGCUUUCAGCAGGGGCGAAGCUUGUGGUGACGGUACCUGCAGAAGAAGCACCGGCUAACUACGUG
RNAcentral lists this ribosomal RNA (465 nucleotides) under uncultured bacterium. RNAcentral describes it as "partial 16S ribosomal RNA". It matches the Rfam family "Bacterial small subunit ribosomal RNA", at positions 28 to 507 of the family's 1533-position model. The record is from RNAcentral.